This 253-nucleotide ribosomal RNA is filed under the name uncultured bacterium. Its description in RNAcentral is "partial 16S ribosomal RNA". It matches the Rfam family "Bacterial small subunit ribosomal RNA", at positions 524 to 776 of the family's 1533-position model. The record is from RNAcentral.
GACAGAGGGUGCAAACGUUGUUCGGAAUUACUGGGCGUAAAGCGCGUGUAGGCGGCUCGGCAAGUCGGGUGUGAAAGCCCUGGGCUCAACCCAGGAAGUGCAUUCGAAACUUCCGAGCUGGAGUCCUGGAGAGGAAGGCGUAAUUCUCGGUGUAGAGGUGAAAUUCGUAGAUAUCGAGAGGAACACCGGUGGCGAAGGCGGCCUUCUGGACAGUGACUGACGCUGAGACGCGAAAGCGUGGGGAGCAAACAGG